This 278-nucleotide ribosomal RNA is filed under the name Pseudomonas aeruginosa. RNAcentral describes it as "partial 23S ribosomal RNA". It matches the Rfam family "Bacterial large subunit ribosomal RNA", at positions 1 to 279 of the family's 2925-position model. Lineage: Bacteria; Pseudomonadati; Pseudomonadota; Gammaproteobacteria; Pseudomonadales; Pseudomonadaceae. The record is from RNAcentral. RNAcentral also lists the same sequence under 1 other name.
AGUCAAGUAAUUAAGUGCAUGUGGUGGAUGCCUUGGCAGUCAGAGGCGAUGAAAGACGUGAUAGCCUGCGAAAAGCUCCGGGGAGGCGGCAAAUAUCCUUUGAUCCGGAGAUGUCUGAAUGGGGGAACCCACCUACUUUAAGGUAGGUAUUGCAACAUGAAUACAUAGUGUUGCAAGGCGAACGAGGGGAAGUGAAACAUCUCAGUACCCUUAGGAAAAGAAAUCAAUUGAGAUUCCCUCAGUAGCGGCGAGCGAACGGGGAUCAGCCCAUUAAGUUA